AUACGAAGGGGGCUAGCGUUGUUCGGAAUUACUGGGCGUAAAGCGCGCGUAGGCGGAUUGGUCAGUUAGGGGUGAAAUCCCAGGGCUUAACCCUGGAACUGCCUCUAAUACGGCCAGUCUUGAGUUCGGGAGAGGUGAGUGGAAUUCCUAGUGUAGAGGUGAAAUUCGUAGAUAUUAGGAAGAACACCAGUGGCGAAGGCGGCUCACUGGCCCGAUACUGACGCUGAGGCGCGAAAGCGUGGGGAGCAAACAGGAUUAGAAACCCUAGUAGUCC
RNAcentral lists this ribosomal RNA (274 nucleotides) under uncultured bacterium. RNAcentral's name for it is "partial 16S ribosomal RNA". It matches the Rfam family "Bacterial small subunit ribosomal RNA", at positions 523 to 796 of the family's 1533-position model. The record is from RNAcentral.